This is a long non-coding RNA of Salvia miltiorrhiza (redroot sage), 557 nucleotides long. RefSeq lists it as uncharacterized. Lineage: Eukaryota; Viridiplantae; Streptophyta; Magnoliopsida; Lamiales; Lamiaceae. The transcript has 2 exons. The record is from RefSeq and is a predicted model, not a curated record.
UAUAAUUAACGACCCAAUUAAUUUUUUUCUCUAUUCUUUUAACGUUGUGCGUAGAGAGAGAGAGAGAGAGAGAUGAGGAUUUUCGGGAAGAAAGUAUAUCCAAGGCAGGUUGUACUUUUCGCUUGCGGGGUUUUAGUGUUGGCGACGACAAGCUACGAUGUUCACAGAUCCAUAAAGAACAACCAAGAACCCCCAUCAGAGGAGCAGCUCCAAGCUCUCCAGGACUACAUCAACUCCGCCCGCCGCCCGCCGCCCUCCACUUAAUUAUGCCUUCUCCAAUUACAAAUUAAAAUAAAUUGCGAUUUGCAUCGUCAAAUUGGUUCCUCUAAGAUGAAGACGAAGAUGAAGAUGAUCAUCUUCUCUACACCCCUUCUGCAGUUGUGUUUAUGGUUGUAGUUUUGCCACGUUGCCGACUCAAAAAUACUUAUAAAUACUAGUAAUAAAAUCAACGGCUGUAUCUCAUUCUUCUUUUUGGUGCUAAUUCUAUUGUUGUUUUGCACCUUGCCGAAAUCUUCUAUAAACCAUACGAGUUUUUUAGUAAUUAUUCAUCACUAGAA